This is a long non-coding RNA of Sitophilus oryzae (rice weevil), 711 nucleotides long. RefSeq lists it as uncharacterized. The transcript has 2 exons. The record is from RefSeq and is a predicted model, not a curated record. Lineage: Eukaryota; Metazoa; Arthropoda; Insecta; Coleoptera; Curculionidae.
UGAUUAUGUAUAAAUAGAUGUACAAUGAGGGCUUAGUACAAGCCCGUCUUCUAGAUGGCGCCUUGCCCGUUCUGCAUUUUUGUAUUCCCCUACGAUUUUCUUUGAGGGGAAUCCGUUAAACCCGCCCAUCGUUCAAAAAUGGAAGGGCGCGAGGUCACAUCUAUUGGGCUACUUAUUAGCACGUUUCACGCAUGUUUUACGAAAAUAGCUUUAUCCUUGUUUGUUUCAACUGUGACAAGAAAAAAGGAAAAAAAAGUCAUAUUCGUUUCUAAAUUCGGCAGUUUUGUUUAUCUUUCUCGACUUCUGAUUUCGUUUCGUUUAGGUUAUGUCUUAAAAAAUAAUUAUUUAUAAUCUUUUGAGUUGAAAUAUACCUUAAUGCAUAUCUAAAUAAUUAAAAAAUCAAUUUUUUCGUCCCUCGCGAAGAAACGAAACAGUAUUUUUGAAUAUUUGGAUUACAAACUAUUAUUUUAUGAGUUUUAUGUGUUGUGUUUACGUGAUGUGUAAUGUGUAUUUUGUACCUGUUGGAUAAUAUUUUGAAACAUAUUUAAUUAAACAAAAAGCAUCUGUAUUACAGGUGUGACUGCUAAGUGGUCGUACUCGCCACUUUAACCAACCAUUGGUGGGACCAUGGUAGGACCUUCAGAGAUUAUAAUGCGAAUUUUUCAUACCAUGUAAAUCUAUAUACAUAUAUUAAUAAAUGCGUUUGUUUUA